AUUUGUUGGGAUUACAGGAAUCAACGGUGGU
RNAcentral lists this non-coding RNA (31 nucleotides) under Rattus norvegicus (Norway rat). Lineage: Eukaryota; Metazoa; Chordata; Mammalia; Rodentia; Muridae. The record is from RNAcentral.